GUGCUAGCUUUGGCAGCACAUCAUACUAAAAUUGGAAUGACAGAGAGACGAUUAAUUGGCAUGGCCCUAGUGCAAGGAUGACACACAAAUUUUCGAAGCAUUCCAUAUUUUU
Molecule: small nuclear RNA, 112 nt
Organism: Arvicanthis niloticus (Nile rat)
Lineage: Eukaryota; Metazoa; Chordata; Mammalia; Rodentia; Muridae
Source: RefSeq, a predicted model, not a curated record